RNAcentral lists this ribosomal RNA (344 nucleotides) under Rickettsiales bacterium. RNAcentral's name for it is "bacterial SSU rRNA". It matches the Rfam family "Bacterial small subunit ribosomal RNA", at positions 1 to 333 of the family's 1533-position model. Lineage: Bacteria; Pseudomonadati; Pseudomonadota; Alphaproteobacteria; Rickettsiales. The record is from RNAcentral.
AAAUUUGAGAGUAUGAUCCCGGCUCAGAAUGAACGCUGGCGGUAUGCUUAAUACAUGCAAGUCGAACGAGAAAGUCUAGCAAUAGAUGAGUAAAGUGGCGUACGGGUGAGUAAUGUAUGGGAAUCUGCCCCGUGGUGAGGAAUAAGCGCUGGAAACGGCGUCUAAUACCACAUAAUAUCGGAAUAGUUGGUUCUGUUCCGAGAAAGGAUUGAUCGCAAGAUUAAUUUGCCAUGGGAUGAGCCCAUAUUGGAUUAGCUAGUUGGUGGGGUAAAGGCCUACCAAGGCGAUGAUCCAUAGCUGGUCUGAGAGGGUGAUCAGCCACACUGGGACUGCGACACGGCCCA